This 1573-nucleotide ribosomal RNA is filed under the name Lactiplantibacillus plantarum. Its description in RNAcentral is "Lactobacillus plantarum 16S ribosomal RNA". It matches the Rfam family "Bacterial small subunit ribosomal RNA". Lineage: Bacteria; Bacillati; Bacillota; Bacilli; Lactobacillales; Lactobacillaceae. The record is from RNAcentral.
UUAAUUUGAGAGUUUGAUCCUGGCUCAGGACGAACGCUGGCGGCGUGCCUAAUACAUGCAAGUCGAACGAACUCUGGUAUUGAUUGGUGCUUGCAUCAUGAUUUACAUUUGAGUGAGUGGCGAACUGGUGAGUAACACGUGGGAAACCUGCCCAGAAGCGGGGGAUAACACCUGGAAACAGAUGCUAAUACCGCAUAACAACUUGGACCGCAUGGUCCGAGUUUGAAAGAUGGCUUCGGCUAUCACUUUUGGAUGGUCCCGCGGCGUAUUAGCUAGAUGGUGGGGUAACGGCUCACCAUGGCAAUGAUACGUAGCCGACCUGAGAGGGUAAUCGGCCACAUUGGGACUGAGACACGGCCCAAACUCCUACGGGAGGCAGCAGUAGGGAAUCUUCCACAAUGGACGAAAGUCUGAUGGAGCAACGCCGCGUGAGUGAAGAAGGGUUUCGGCUCGUAAAACUCUGUUGUUAAAGAAGAACAUAUCUGAGAGUAACUGUUCAGGUAUUGACGGUAUUUAACCAGAAAGCCACGGCUAACUACGUGCCAGCAGCCGCGGUAAUACGUAGGUGGCAAGCGUUGUCCGGAUUUAUUGGGCGUAAAGCGAGCGCAGGCGGUUUUUUAAGUCUGAUGUGAAAGCCUUCGGCUCAACCGAAGAAGUGCAUCGGAAACUGGGAAACUUGAGUGCAGAAGAGGACAGUGGAACUCCAUGUGUAGCGGUGAAAUGCGUAGAUAUAUGGAAGAACACCAGUGGCGAAGGCGGCUGUCUGGUCUGUAACUGACGCUGAGGCUCGAAAGUAUGGGUAGCAAACAGGAUUAGAUACCCUGGUAGUCCAUACCGUAAACGAUGAAUGCUAAGUGUUGGAGGGUUUCCGCCUUCAGUGCUGCAGCUAACGCAUUAAGCAUUCCGCCUGGGGAGUACGGCCGCAAGGCUGAAACUCAAAGGAAUUGACGGGGCCCGCACAAGCGGUGGAGCAUGUGGUUUAAUUCGAAGCUACGCGAAGAACCUUACCAGGUCUUGACAUACUAUGCAAAUCUAAGAGAUUAGACGUUCCCUUCGGGGACAUGGAUACAGGUGGUGCAUGGUUGUCGUCAGCUCGUGUCGUGAGAUGUUGGGUUAAGUCCCGCAACGAGCGCAACCCUUAUUAUCAGUUGCCAGCAUUAAGUUGGGCACUCUGGUGAGACUGCCGGUGACAAACCGGAGGAAGGUGGGGAUGACGUCAAAUCAUCAUGCCCUUAUGACCUGGGCUACACACGUGCUACAAUGGAUGGUACAACGAGUUGCGAACUCGCGAGAGUAAGCUAAUCUCUUAAAGCCAUUCUCAGUUCGGAUUGUAGGCUGCAACUCGCCUACAUGAAGUCGGAAUCGCUAGUAAUCGCGGAUCAGCAUGCCGCGGUGAAUACGUUCCCGGGCCUUGUACACACCGCCCGUCACACCAUGAGAGUUUGUAACACCCAAAGUCGGUGGGGUAACCUUUUAGGAACCAGCCGCCUAAGGUGGGACAGAUGAUUAGGGUGAAGUCGUAACAAGGUAGCCGUAGGAGAACCUGCGGCUGGAUCACCUCCUUUCUAAGGAA